UAGCAGGUGCGAAUCCUGCCCCGGAAAUUGGUCGAUUCAACCGGGUAACUGGCUCGACUUGGGACGAGGAAACGAAUCCCAAGCAAGCUCGAGCGACAAAGCCCUCGUCACGCAUCACUGCGUGGGAGCGACCAGGAGGGCAAGUGAACGGGAGGGUUGUAAUCGAA
Molecule: non-coding RNA, 167 nt
Organism: Acidobacteria bacterium 13_2_20CM_58_27
Lineage: Bacteria; Pseudomonadati; Acidobacteriota
Source: Rfam